RNAcentral lists this ribosomal RNA (373 nucleotides) under uncultured Methanosaeta sp. RNAcentral's name for it is "bacterial SSU rRNA". It matches the Rfam family "Archaeal small subunit ribosomal RNA", at positions 968 to 1338 of the family's 1478-position model. Lineage: Archaea; Methanobacteriati; Methanobacteriota; Methanomicrobia; Methanotrichales; Methanotrichaceae. The record is from RNAcentral.
UUACCCGACUUAGCUGAGAGGUGGUGCAUGGCCGUCGUCAGUACCGUACUGUGAAGCAUCCUGUUAAGUCAGGCAACGAGCGAGACCCACGUCCACAGUUGCCAGCAUACCCUCCGGGGUGAUGGGUACACUGUGGAGACCGCCGCUGCUAAAGCGGAGGAAGGAGUGGGCAACGGUAGGUCAGUAUGCCCCGAAUCUCCCGGGCUACACGCGGGCUACAAUGGUUGGUACAAUGGGCAUCUACCCCGAAAGGGGAAGGAAAUCUCUUAAAGCCAAUCGUAGUUCGGAUUGAGGGCUGCAACUCGCCCUCAUGAAGCUGGAAUCCGUAGUAAUCGCGUUUCAACAGAACGCGGUGAAUACGUCCCUGCUCCUU